GCCUCAGCCUUCCGAGUAGCUGGGACUACAGUGCACCUUCCAGUGUGGCAGAAAUUGGAAAGCUUUACAACAAAUAAACUAUAUUUUGACACUUUCCUGCAGCUAAGGUUCUGGAUGCAAGUUAGGCCCUGCCAUGAGAUGCUUCAUUGGAAAGUGGAAGGUAGAAAUGAGGUGGAAGCAUUUUUCUCUUGCUCUUUUGACUGUUUUCUGAUGUCACAUAUGGCCAUAGGAUGGAGCUCCUCACACCCCCCAGAAGUGGUCCAGUGUGCAGUCUCUCCAGAUUUGUGGGUGGUAAGGGGCAUUUGCUGUGGUGCCAGUGAAGCCCAGAUACCAGCUCCUUGAUCUUGGAUCUUAUCUGCACUAGCAUUAUCUUGGACUGUGAUCUCUGGACUCAGUAAUUCCAGUGGCAAUCUCUUGGUAUUCCAGCUCCCUGGCUGGGACAGUUGUAAUAGCUUCUCUGGUGAGUCAGUUCUGCAGUGUUCUGGGGAUAACUCCUGGAAACCUAGCAUAUAGCCUAGUUCUGCCAAAUUUAUAAACAUCCAAUUCCUGUAUUAAAUCCCAUUCUGCAUAAAAUCCCUAGGGCGGUAUCUGCUUCCUGCAAUUGAACCCUACCUGAUACAGGCUUGUAUCCGUGAUUAUGAGUCUUCUAAUUUUACCUCUCAAUUAGAGGCAAUGGCCCUGCUUAGCCAUAGUAGAUGUCCUCAGCUCCCUUGUUGGUAGACCAGGAGGAGAAAUUCUUGGUAUUCAGCAUAAUGGAUUUCCACAAAAAAAGUGCUUACUGAGCCUCAGGUACUGGAACUAACAGAUGAAAGAGACAAUAUCAUGGCGCAGCGUGGGAAGAAAGAAGAGAAAAGUUCUUGUUUCCACAUGAAUCACCACGGAGCAGCAUCUGUCCUCAAUUUUGACAAAGCAAAUGAAAGGGGAAAAGCGUUCUUAUUGACUGGAAGAAAACAGAGACAGCAAAGCCCAGAAGCUUCUCUUUGGUCAGCCUCGCAAUUGUAUUUCCCCCACUUUGCUGUCCUCCCAAGGGCUAGACAUCCAACACUCCUACCGAGGUUCUCACGACAUUGACAGUUUAGCUGGAAACCCAAGACCCACUCCUGCUUUCCCAUGGGAUUUCUCACUGCCUUACCAUGAACUGUCCAUCCUGCAGCCCAUGAGGGCAUGUCAGACCCAGAGAGAAUAAGAGAAGGCCAUGCAGCUGGUGCCAGGCAACAUGUCUGCUCCCAGUGGACCCCAGUGGCCAGGCUUGGCCAGCCAGGCUGUGAAAUCAGAGACAGCCAGCCCUCCAGAGCACAGAGACUCUCGGCCACUCUGACUUCAUUAGCAUGCAACUAGGGCACGGAGGCCUUGCCAGGGACUGUUGCAAGCAAGUUUGCUCAGGGAGACAGCUGGAAAGAUGGACUGAUGCCUUGAGUUUCUUGGUUCUU
Cebus imitator (Panamanian white-faced capuchin) is the source of this 1430-nucleotide long non-coding RNA. RefSeq lists it as uncharacterized. The transcript is spliced from 3 exons. The record is from RefSeq and is a predicted model, not a curated record. NCBI's taxonomy places the organism in Eukaryota, Metazoa, Chordata, Mammalia, Primates, Cebidae.